CUGGCAUAAACAAACAAAAGCCCGCAGGAAUAAACACAAAGUCAAGUUUUGAACCCUCUGGAUCUCUGCUUCACAUAUCCUUCUCCUCCUUCCCUGACAGGCAGUCUGGCAGCUCCCAGCCUGUUGACAGGGCUCUCUCUUGUUCUUCCACCUUCCAUCCCACAGGAUCCCUAAUGCAUUUAGCACCAUGGCUUUCAGCUUCCUUAGCUUAAGGGCCACUACAAGUUUUCUGGCAGCAGCACGGACGUGGACUGUUGAAUGUCAGAGAGGAAAUUACUUUUCUUUGCAACCUUUUCACAAAUCCCUGCAGUCACUGGACCUCUGGGCCUGAAGGACCACGGAUUGAAAGCCCCUGACUUACCAGUCAGCACAUGAAGUUCACAUCAGCAGGUGGGUCCUCCCCACAUCUCUGCUUUGCACUGAAGCUGCUCUUGUGUUUGCAACCUGCUCUGCCAUUCCAUAUCUGCCAGACUUGCUGUGUGUGAAGGGAGAUGAAGAAAAUGAGUCUGGCCAAGAAGACAGAAGAGCUAGGUGAGGAGGCUACACCUGUGCUAGAGCACAGCCUGAAUCCAGCUGGAAGAGGUGGAGCCCUUCCAUGCCCCGUGAGAUCCUCCUCGACAGAGCUGAUCCCCCUCCAGCCCUUGCACUUCCCAUCCACAGAGCCAUUUGCCAAAUUUCUUGGACUGCUGUGUCCUCUAGGAAUAGGAAAUGUUAAUUAUUAUUGAUGACACCCUGUGACUUUUCUCAUUAAAAAUUCUAAUUAAUUGGAUUAUCGCUAUUUUCUCUCUUGGAGGUGCAUGGGGGUGGCAGAUAGGAGUGAUGGACAUUGCUUUCAAUACCGGAAAGGGAAAAGAGGGGCCUCAGGUGAUGUUAUUUGAGUAAUAGAAAGUGGCAGAAGUGACAGGAGAUCUGGGAGGCUGCUCCUAGAGGGAGCAGGGAUUAGCAAUGCCAGCACCAAACCCUCCACAGACUGGGUGGUGCAAUUUAAUGCAUCGCUUUGUUAUUUUCCAACUAUAAAGACAUAAAGGACUAAAACUAGUCCUGAGUCCUGAGACUCCUUAGCUCUUUGUCUGAAUCAAUGGUGAGUCUCUCCAGGUUUUUGGACAGGCCAGCAGAAAUCUGGCAGCAGAGUCUCUGCACAUGGCACAGAGCACCUUUGUCCCCAAUCCUUUGUCUGGUCAAACUCAGCCAGACAAUACAUGGAGAUGCCCAACACACCUGUCCAUCACACCAGCUCCUCCUUACCCUGGGCUUGGCAUGAGAAACUCUUCCUUGUGGUGAGACCCAUCAUUAAAUGUAUGGCACAGCACCAGCUCACCAAAAAUAGCUCUGCAGAAGGAGAGCAGCGUGCGCGGGGCCUGUGCGUGCUCAGAGUCUGUG
Molecule: long non-coding RNA, 1380 nt
Filed under: Zonotrichia albicollis (white-throated sparrow)
Lineage: Eukaryota; Metazoa; Chordata; Aves; Passeriformes; Passerellidae
Description: lncRNA (ENSZALG00000001613.1)
Source: RNAcentral